CAGAAUUCCAGAGAACGUAAGGUUGGAGUCAGAUUUCAGGGUUGAAGAACAGAUCUCUAUAGGUGAAGAGUAGAUUAUAUUUUUUUUCAGAAUUAUUCUUCUCCCAAGCUUUCAAGGACUUCUUUUGAGGUACUCUUAGUUCGGGUGAGGAGUGAUGGCUAGGCUGAGGAAUGGUCAUCAUUAGGAUUUGACUUAGGAUUUUAUGUUGGAUUUUGUUUAACUAUUAGUUAUGUUAUUUUGGAUCAUUUGGUAUUUGGAAGUUAUUUGGAAAUUGAAUUUUGAGGAUUUUAGAUUUUGUUUCCGCUA
Long non-coding RNA from Vitis vinifera (wine grape), 306 nucleotides. RefSeq lists it as uncharacterized. The record is from RefSeq and is a predicted model, not a curated record. Lineage: Eukaryota; Viridiplantae; Streptophyta; Magnoliopsida; Vitales; Vitaceae. The transcript is spliced from 3 exons.